GACGAACGCUGGCGGCGUGCUUAACACAUGCAAGUCGAACGAAGUGGCGAACGGGUGAGUAACGCGUAAACAACCUGCCCUUCAGAGGGGGACAACAGUUGAAAACGACUGCUAAUACCACAUACUGAAGGCGGGUAUUGCGUUGGAUUAGCUAGUUGGAGGGGUAACGGCCCACCAAGGCGAUGAUCAGUAGGCGGUCUGGGAGGAUGAACUGCCACAUUGGGACUGAGACACUGCCCAGACUCCUACGGGAGGCAGCAGUGGGGAAGAUGCCACAAGGGACGAAAGUCUGACGGAGCAACGCCGCGGGAGUGAUGACGGCCUUCGGGUUGUAAAGCUCGGUUAAGUGGGACGCGGUACCGGAAUAGAAAGCCACGGCUAACUACGUGCCAGCAGCCGCGGUAAUAC
This 408-nucleotide ribosomal RNA is filed under the name uncultured bacterium. RNAcentral's name for it is "partial 16S ribosomal RNA". It matches the Rfam family "Bacterial small subunit ribosomal RNA", at positions 28 to 526 of the family's 1533-position model. The record is from RNAcentral.